RNAcentral lists this ribosomal RNA (537 nucleotides) under uncultured bacterium. RNAcentral's name for it is "bacterial SSU rRNA". It matches the Rfam family "Bacterial small subunit ribosomal RNA", at positions 777 to 1319 of the family's 1533-position model. The record is from RNAcentral.
AAUAGAUACCCGGGUAGUCCACGCCGUAAACGAUGGAUACUAGCUGUCCGGUCGCAAGAUUGAGUGGCUAAGCGAAAGUGAUAAGUAUCCCACCUGGGGAGUACGAACGCAAGUUUGAAACUCAAAGGAAUUGACGGGGGCCCGCACAAGCGGUGGAGCAUGUGGUUUAAUUCGAUGAUACGCGAGGAACCUUACCAAGGCUUAAAUGUAUAUUGACAGGACUGGAAACAGUUUUUUCUUCGGACAAUUUACAAGGUGCUGCAUGGUUGUCGUCAGCUCGUGCCGUGAGGUGUCAGGUUAAGUCCUAUAACGAGCGCAACCCCUGUUGUUAGUUGCCAGCGAGUCAAGUCGGGAACUCUAACAAGACUGCCAGUGUAAACUGUGAGGAAGGUGGGGAUGACGUCAAAUCAUCACGGCCCUUACGCCUUGGGCUACACACGUGCUACAAUGGCCGGUACAGAGAGCAGCCACUGCGCGAGCAGGAGCGAAUCUAAUAAAACCGGUCACAGUUCGGAUCGGAGUCUGCAACUCGACUCC